UACAGAGGUCUCAAGCGUUGUUCGGAAUUACUGGGCGUAAAGGGUGCGCAGGCCGCGCGGGCAGUCAGAUGUGUAAUCCAGGGGCUCAACCCCUGAACUGCGCUUGAUACUUCCGCGCUCGAGCUUUGGAGAGGAGUCUGGAAUUCUCGGUGUAGCAGUGAAAUGCGUGGAUAUCGAGAAGAACACUUAGGGCGUAGGCAAGACUCUGGACAAAUGCUGACGCUCAUGCACGAAGGCUAGGGUAGCGAACGGG
Molecule: ribosomal RNA, 253 nt
Filed under: uncultured bacterium
Lineage: Bacteria
Description: partial 16S ribosomal RNA
Rfam family: Bacterial small subunit ribosomal RNA
Source: RNAcentral